This 442-nucleotide ribosomal RNA is filed under the name Mycoplasmopsis meleagridis. RNAcentral describes it as "bacterial LSU rRNA". It matches the Rfam family "Bacterial large subunit ribosomal RNA", at positions 1439 to 1893 of the family's 2925-position model. The record is from RNAcentral. Lineage: Bacteria; Bacillati; Mycoplasmatota; Mycoplasmoidales; Metamycoplasmataceae.
CCUGUACUUUCUAUAAAUGUGAUGGAGUGACGGAGAAGGAUAACUUUACUGCUUAUUGGAUUAGCAGGGUAAGUAUYAAUUGGGGACUGUAGGCAAAUCCGCAGGCCAUAACCGAAAGAUACGAUGCAUAGCACAUUUGUGCGAAUUAAGUGAUUUCACGCUUCCAAGAAAAGCUUCUAAACUUAAGUUUAUGGAAACCUGUACCAAGAACGGACACACGUCCCCUAGAUGAGUAUUCUAAGGCGAGCGAGAAAACUAGUGUUAAGGAACUCUGCAAAAUGACCCCGCAAGUUCGCAAGAAGGGGAACCUAUAGUAACAUAUAGGUCACAGUAAAUUAUGAGGGGCAACUGUUUAUCAAAAACACAGCUCUCUGCUAAACCGCAAGGUGAUGUAUAGGGGGUGAAGCCUGCCCAGUGCCCGAAGGUUAAGUGGAUGCGUUAG